CCUACGGGAGGCAGCAGUGAGGAAUAUUGGUCAAUGGGCGGGAGCCUGAACCAGCCAAGCCGCGUGAAGGAAGAAGGCGCCAAGCGUCGUAAACUUCUUUUGUCGGGGAACAAAGGGCGCCACGUGUGGCGUUGUGAGUGUACCCGAAGAAAAAGCAUCGGCUAACUCCGUGCCAGCAGCCGCGGUAAUACGGAGGAUGCGAGCGUUAUCCGGAUUUAUUGGGUUUAAAGGGUGCGCAGGCGGUCUGUUAAGUCAGCGGUCAAAGCCCGGGGCUCAACCCCGGCCCGCCGUUGAACCUGGCAGUC
Molecule: ribosomal RNA, 305 nt
Filed under: uncultured bacterium
Lineage: Bacteria
Description: bacterial SSU rRNA
Rfam family: Bacterial small subunit ribosomal RNA
Source: RNAcentral